CCCUGGGGUGAGGAAUACCAGCGAGAAAUCGUUGACAAUUCCGCAUAGGCUCUCGUUUCCGCGAGGAGGGAGAGCAAAGCCUGGUUCGUGAGAGCGAGCGAGGUGCCCUGGGAGGAGCCUGCGUCCGAUUAGCUAGUUGGGGGGGUGAUGGCCUCCCAAGGCGACGAUCGGUAGCUGGUCUGAGAGGACGAUCAGCCACACUGGGAUUGAGAACGGCCCAG
RNAcentral lists this ribosomal RNA (221 nucleotides) under uncultured bacterium. Its description in RNAcentral is "partial 16S ribosomal RNA". It matches the Rfam family "Bacterial small subunit ribosomal RNA", at positions 129 to 334 of the family's 1533-position model. The record is from RNAcentral.